This 231-nucleotide long non-coding RNA is filed under the name Mytilus galloprovincialis (Mediterranean mussel). Lineage: Eukaryota; Metazoa; Mollusca; Bivalvia; Mytilida; Mytilidae. The record is from RNAcentral.
GGGGCAAGUAUGGACACUACAUUCUAGCUUGAUAUAGCUCUGACUUUGGAUUGUGCUUAAAUAGUUGUCACAGCAUAGGUUUCUGACACAGAAUGAAUGUGGUCUAAUAAACUUCACAUUUUUUUUUGCUUUUGAGCAAUACACACUAUGCUGCUGAAUAUUACUCGCCUAAAAACAAAUAUUUGAAGACAUUUUCUUUUUAAUUUCUGAAAUGGGAAAAAUUGUACCCCC